Molecule: ribosomal RNA, 454 nt
Filed under: uncultured Rikenellaceae bacterium
Lineage: Bacteria; Pseudomonadati; Bacteroidota; Bacteroidia; Bacteroidales; Rikenellaceae
Description: partial 16S ribosomal RNA
Rfam family: Bacterial small subunit ribosomal RNA
Source: RNAcentral
ACGGAAGGCAGCAGUGAGGAAUAUUGGUCAAUGGACGCAAGUCUGAACCAGCCAUGCCGCGUGCAGGAAUAAGGCCCUAUGGGUCGUAAACUGCUUUUGUGGUGGAGCAAUAAGUCGUACGUGUACGGCGAUGAGAGUACAUCACGAAUAAGCAUCGGCUAACUCCGUGCCAGCAGCCGCGGUAAUACGGAGGAUGCAAGCGUUAUCCGGACUUAUUGGGUUUAAAGGGUGCGUAGGCUGUGGUCCAAGUCAGGGGUGAAAGCCCGGAGCUCAACUCCGGAACUGCCUUUGAUACUGGAUUGCUGGAAUACGGAUGCCGUGGGAGGAAUGAGUAGUGUAGCGGUGAAAUGCAUAGAUAUUACUCAGAACACCGAUUGCGAAGGCAUCUCACGAAUCCGUCAUUGACGCUGAGGCACGAAAGCGUGGGGAUCAAACAGGAUUAGAUACCCUGGUA